AUGGAUGGAGUCUUUGUUGUCAUCCCCACAGAUAGACAAAGGUAUCAGCCCAUCCAUCCAUCACUGUCAGGCGGAACAACUGGGUGUUUGCAUACUACUACUACUGGCGUGCUAACAACAUGCGUCGAAACGACAAGACUGUAUACUAGGAGACUGAAGAAGCCAGAGCAGUUGGCCACCUCCCUGCCUCUACAUGUUAAUUGCCUUUCUUGGCGUCCUGAUGCCAUUUGUACAGAAGUAAUCUCAAGUAAAAGCCAACCAAUAUUUUGCACAGGAGAAACAGUUGAGCCAAAUUAUUUUUAA
RNAcentral lists this ribosomal RNA (303 nucleotides) under Triticum aestivum (bread wheat). RNAcentral describes it as "partial small subunit ribosomal RNA". The record is from RNAcentral. Lineage: Eukaryota; Viridiplantae; Streptophyta; Magnoliopsida; Poales; Poaceae.